Molecule: small nucleolar RNA, 102 nt
Organism: Peromyscus maniculatus bairdii (prairie deer mouse)
Lineage: Eukaryota; Metazoa; Chordata; Mammalia; Rodentia; Cricetidae
Product: small nucleolar RNA U13
Source: RefSeq, a predicted model, not a curated record
GUCCUUUUUUGGUUCUUCAACACGAUGUCUGGUAUUCACAUUCUACUGUGGCAUGUGUGUCCCUCCAACCUGUCACAAUGUUGGCAUGUUACCACGUGGACA